AACGAACGCUGGCGGCGUGCUUAACACAUGCAAGUCGAACGCGAAAGGGACUUCGGUCCUGAGUAAAGUGGCGCACGGGUGAGUAACGCGUAGAUAACCUGUCUUCAUGUCUGGAAUAAUACGCCGAAAGGGGUACUAAUACCGGAUAUUCUUGCUUUUCAUAAGUUAUGCAAGCAAAGGUGGCCUCUGCAUAUGCUACUGCAUGAAGAGGGGUCUGCGUACCAUUAGCUAGUAGGUGGGGUAAUGGCCUACCUGGGCGACGAUGGUUAGCGGGUCUGAGAGGAUGAUCCGCCACACUGGCACUGGAACACGGGCCAGACUCCUACGGGAGGCAGCAGUGAGGAAUAUUGCGCAAUGGGGGAAACCCUGACGCAGCGACGCCGCGUGAGUGAAGGAAGGCCUUCGGGUCGUAAAGCUCUGUCAAGAGGAAAGAAGUGUACAAUGGCUAAUACCUGUUGUAUUUGACGGUACCUCUAAAGGAAGCACCGGCUAACUCCGUGCCAGCCGCAGC
RNAcentral lists this ribosomal RNA (511 nucleotides) under uncultured bacterium. Its description in RNAcentral is "bacterial SSU rRNA". It matches the Rfam family "Bacterial small subunit ribosomal RNA", at positions 29 to 518 of the family's 1533-position model. The record is from RNAcentral.